AGAGUUUGAUCCUGGCUCAGAUUGAACGCUGGCGGCAUGCCUUACACAUGCAAGUCGAACGGCAGCACGGGAGCAAUCCUGGUGGCGAGUGGCGAACGGGUGAGUAAUGUAUCGGAACGUACCUUUCAGUGGGGGAUAACGUAGCGAAAGUUACGCUAAUACCGCAUAUUCUGUGAGCAGGAAAGCAGGGGAUCGCAAGACCUUGCGCUGAUUGAGCGGCCGAUAUCAGAUUAGCUAGUUGGUGAGGUAAAGGCUCACCAAGGCGACGAUCUGUAGCGGGUCUGAGAGGAUGAUCCGCCACAUUGGAACUGAGACACGGUCCAGACUCCUACGGGAGGCAGCAGUGGGGAAUUUUGGACAAUGGGCGCAAGCCUGAUCCAGCCAUGCCGCGUGAGUGAAGAAGGCCUUCGGGUUGUAAAGCUCUUUCAGCCGGGAAGAAAACGCAUGGGUUAAUACCCUGUGUGGAUGACGGUACCGGAAUAAGAAGCACCGGCUAACUACGUGCCAGCAGCCGCGGUAAUACGUAGGGUGCGAGCGUUAAUCGGAAUUACUGGGCGUAAAGCGUGCGCAGGCGGUUUGUUAAGAUAGGCGUGAAAUCCCCGGGCUCAACCAUGGCAUUGCGUUGGGAACUGCGGGACUUGAGUCACGGAGAGGGAGCUGGAAUUCCAGGUGUAGGGGUGAAAUCUGUAGAUAUCUGGAAGAACACCAGUGGCGAAGGCGAGCUCCUGGCCGAUGACUGACGCUGAGGUGCGAAAGUGUGGGGAUCAAACAGGAUUAGAUACCCUGGUAGUCC
RNAcentral lists this ribosomal RNA (793 nucleotides) under uncultured bacterium. RNAcentral describes it as "bacterial SSU rRNA". It matches the Rfam family "Bacterial small subunit ribosomal RNA", at positions 8 to 796 of the family's 1533-position model. The record is from RNAcentral.